AUGCAGCUGGAGAGAGGACACCUGGACACCUGCCCAAUCCAGUGACGUCAGCCUCAUUCGCUGUCAGAAGGGUGCGGGGCCUCGGGGGCGGAGUCUCUCCCGCCUCUGCCCUCGGUCUAGUCUGGCCACCUUCCCAGUCUGGUGGGUGCAGAUGUGCAGAAGCCUGGGUCGGGAGGCACCAAGCGCGGAUGGACCCUGCUCCCAUCCCAGGGCUUCUGACUCUCCACGUGUCUCACACCACUGGACCUCUCUCCUCCUGCCUCUGCCCUUGUUUCCCUUGGCAACUCUCUGGGCAUGUAGAGGCUCUCUCCAGGGGAAGAUAGACCAAAUCCUUCCCUCAUGGGUCCGCAGACCCUCCGAUUCCAGCCCCCCAGAGAUGGGGAUACUGCCAAGGGUUUCAAGCGAUCUUCCCGACUCGGCCUCCCAAAGAAUUGGAAUUGCAGGAAUGCGCCACCGCACCCGUUCCAGGUAUCUACUUUUUAUACAAAUUAAUAUUUCAGGGAACUCUCGAAAGUAAAAGUAGUCACAAAAAGCUGCAAGAGUUGCUGUGUUCCAGGACGGAGUCCGGGGUGGGGUCGGGGACCCCCACCCGCACUCAUACAGGGAAGCUCUGGUCCGAGUUUGGAGGCAACGGAACACCGGAAAUGCUGUGGAGGUCCGAGUGAGGUCAGGGCACACCGGACGGUUACCUUAAAGCUGCCAGGCGCGGUGGCUCACGCCUGUAAUCCCAGCACUUUGGGAGGCCGAGGUGGGCGGAUCACGAGGAGUUCGAGACCAGCCUGACCAACAUGG
Chlorocebus sabaeus (green monkey) is the source of this 792-nucleotide long non-coding RNA. RefSeq lists it as uncharacterized. Lineage: Eukaryota; Metazoa; Chordata; Mammalia; Primates; Cercopithecidae. The record is from RefSeq and is a predicted model, not a curated record.